GACAGAGGGUGCAAACGUUGCUCGGAAUUACUGGGCGUAAAGCGCGUGUAGGUGGAUUGGUGUGUCAGAUGUGAAAGCCCUGGGCUCAACCCAGGAACUGCACCUGAAACUACCAGUCUUGAGUGGUGGAGAGGGAAGUGGAAUUCCUGGUGUAGAGGUGAAAUUCGUAGAUAUCGGGUGGAACACCAGUGGCGAAGGCGGCUAUCUGGACGGACACUGACGCUGAGACGCGAAAGCGUGGGGAGCAAACAGG
RNAcentral lists this ribosomal RNA (253 nucleotides) under uncultured bacterium. Its description in RNAcentral is "partial 16S ribosomal RNA". It matches the Rfam family "Bacterial small subunit ribosomal RNA", at positions 524 to 776 of the family's 1533-position model. The record is from RNAcentral.